GGCGAACGGGUGAGUAACACGUGAGCAAUCUGCCCUUGACUCUGGGAUAACUGCGGGAAACUGUAGCUAAUACCGGAUACGACACCUUGGGGCAUCCCGGGGUGUGGAAAGAAUUUUGGUCAAGGAUGAGCUCGCGGCCUAUCAGCUAGUUGGUGAGGUAAAGGCUCACCAAGGCGACGACGGGUAGCCGGCCUGAGAGGGAGAUCCCCCACACUGGUACUGAGACACGGACCAGACUCCUACGGGAGGCAGCAGUGAGGAAUAUUGGUCAAUGGGCGCAAGCCUGAACCAGCCAUGCCGCGUGCAGGAAGACGGUCCUUGGAUUGUAAACUGCUUUUAUACAGGAAGAAACAACUCUACGUGUAGAGUCUUGACGGUACUGUAGGAAUAAGGAUCGGCUAACUCCGUGCCAGCAGCCGCGGUAAUACGGAGGAUCCAAGCGUUAUCCGGAAUCAUUGGGUUUAAAGGGUCCGUAGGCGGCCUUAUAAGUCAGUGGUGAAAUCUCCUAGCUCAACUAGGAAACUGCCAUUGAUACUGUAGGGCUUGAAUAAUUGUGAAGUAACUAGAAUAUGUAGUGUAGCGGUGAAAUGCUUAGAUAUUACAUGGAAUACCAAUUGCGAAGGCAGGUUACUAACAAUUGAUUGACGCUGAUGGACGAAAGCGUGGGGAGCGAACAGGAUUAGAUACCCUGGUAGUCCACGCCGUAAACGAUGGAUACUAGCUGUUCGGAGCAAUCUGAGUGGCUAAGCGAAAGUGAUAAGUAUCCCACCUGGGGAGUACGCACGCAAGUGUGAAACUCAAAGGAAUUGACGGGGGCCCGCACAAG
Molecule: ribosomal RNA, 826 nt
Filed under: uncultured bacterium
Lineage: Bacteria
Description: bacterial SSU rRNA
Rfam family: Bacterial small subunit ribosomal RNA
Source: RNAcentral